This 393-nucleotide unclassified non-coding RNA is filed under the name soil metagenome. RNAcentral's name for it is "partial contains 5.8S ribosomal RNA, internal transcribed spacer 2, and large subunit ribosomal RNA". The stretch from base 1 to 122 matches the Rfam family "5.8S ribosomal RNA", at positions 35 to 154 of the family's 154-position model. The record is from RNAcentral.
GAUGAAGAACGCAGCGAAAUGCGAUACUUGGUGUGAAUUGCAGAAUCCCGUGAACCAUCGAGUCUUUGAACGCAAGUUGCGCCCGAAGCCACUAGGCCGAGGGCACGCCUGCCUGGGCGUCACACGUCGUUGCCCCCCCCCCAUCUACUCCUUCGGGAUUGCGGGGGGCGGAUGAUGGCCUCCCGUGCGCCUAGCCGCGCGGUUGGCAUAAAUACCAAGUCCUCGGCGACGCACGCCACGACAAUCGGUGGUUGCGAAACCUCGGUUGCCCGUCGUGUGCGUUCGUCGCGCAUCGAGGGCUCGAAAAAAUGCUCGGCUCCGGCUCGGCUUUCAGCGCGACCCCAGGUCAGGUGGGGUUACCCGCUGAAUUUAAGCAUAUCAAUAAGCGGAGGA